CCUAGUUAAUCCUACCAGUAGUCAUAUGAUUGUUUCAAUGAUUAAGCCAUGCAUGUGUAAGUAUGAACUAAUUCAUAUUGUGAAACUACAAAAGGCUUAUUAAAUCACUUAUAGUUUGUUUGAUGGUAUAUAAUACCCAGACAACCAUUAUAAUUCUAGAGCUAAUAAGUGCAACAAGCCAUGACUUUUGGAAGGGAUGCAUUUAUAAGAUAAAAGGUUAAUGCACGCUUUGCUCAUUGCUAUAAUGAUUCAUGAUAACUCGACAGAUCACAUGACCUUUCUGUUGGCGAGGCAACAUUCAAAUUUUUGUCUUAUCAACUUUUGAAGGUAAGAUAGUAGCCUACUAUAGUGGUGAUAAGUGAUGGAGAACUAGGGUUCCAUUCUAGAAAAGGAGCCUAAGAAAUGACUACCACAUUCAAGAAAGGUAGCAAGUGCAUAAAUUACCCAAUCUUGACAUGAGGAGGUAGUGGUAAUAAAUAACAAUAUCAUGCUCUAUGAGUCUAGUAAUUAGAAUAAGUACAAUCUAAUUCCCUUAACAAAAAUCCAUUGAAAGGCAAGUUUGGUGGUAGUAGUCGUGGUAAUUCUAGUUCAAUAGCAUAUAUUUAAAUUGAUGUAGUCAAAAAGCUUGUAGUUAGAACUAGGGUUAGGUUGUCUGGUUUGCCUCAUGGUGAGCAUUGGUCUACUUGUCCCUACUAUCAAUAAUGCACUUCUGGCCUUAAAUGGCCAGCCAUUCCUUUGACAUUAUUGCUUUGAAGAAAUUAGAGUGCUCAAAGCAAGCCUAUGCUUGUAGACAUUAGCAUGGGAUAACAUCAUAGGAUUUUGGUCUUAUACGUUGGCCUUUUGGUUCAAAGUAAUGAUUAACAAAAAUAGUUGGGCGCAUUCGUAUUUCAUAAUCAAAGGUGAAAUUCUUGAAUUUUUGAAAGACGAACAAUUGUAAAAGCAUUUGCCAAGGAUGUUUCCAUUAAUCAAGAAUAGAAGUUGAGGGUUUUAAAGAUGAUCAGAUACCGUCCUAGUCUUAAUUAUAAAUGAUGCUGACUAGGGAUCAAUAGAUGUUACUUUUAAAACUUCAUCGACACCUUAUGAAAAAUCAAAGUCUUUGGGUUUCAAGGGGAGUAUGGUCGCAAGGUUGAAACUUAAAUGAAUAGAUAAAAGGGUAACACAAGGAUUGGAGCCUAUGGCUUAAAUUGACUCAACAUGUGAAACUUACUGGGUCUAGACAUAGUAAGGAUUAAUUGAGUGAAAACUCUUUCUUGAUUCUAUAGAUGGUAAUGCAUGGCCAUUUUUAGUUAGUGGAGUGAUUUGUUUGGUUAAUUUCAUUAAUGAAUGAGACCUUAGCCUAUAACUAGCUAUGUGGAGGUGAUCCUUCAUGACUAGCGACCAGCUCGAGCUCGAGCCUUUGAUAUGCCUGCAAAGAUGUCGUUGCUGUGAUCAUAGAAUGCAAUACAUGCUAUAUCAGCGUGCCUUGGCAUCUAUAUGCUCUCGGUGUCAACUUAUGGGCUUCUUAUUCAGCCUAUCUUAAAACAUAGACCAAUGAGUCUGACAUGUGUGCAAGUCAACAAGCUAGAAAAACUAUAAGGUGCAAGGAAGCUAAUUGACGGGAUCCCUUUUGGGUGCAUCGCUG
RNAcentral lists this ribosomal RNA (1621 nucleotides) under Durio zibethinus. RNAcentral describes it as "SSU rRNA". It matches the Rfam family "Eukaryotic small subunit ribosomal RNA", at positions 3 to 1431 of the family's 1831-position model. The record is from RNAcentral. Lineage: Eukaryota; Viridiplantae; Streptophyta; Magnoliopsida; Malvales; Malvaceae.